Molecule: unclassified non-coding RNA, 290 nt
Filed under: Hevea brasiliensis (rubber tree)
Lineage: Eukaryota; Viridiplantae; Streptophyta; Magnoliopsida; Malpighiales; Euphorbiaceae
Source: RNAcentral
GGGAAUCCUUGCAGCUAUACUUCUGAGAAAUCCGACCUCUGGUGAUGAUAUAUAGUUAACAAUGAUGCUUCUGGAUACAGAAAGUACAAAGUUCCUCAUGCUCACGUUAUGUUGCGUGAAGAACACAUCAUGCUGAAUAUUUAGCCAAAAUCCUGGAGGCUUGAACUGAUUAACCACAUCUUCAGGAGUGAGAAUAACAAACUCAUUGCCAUCGAACUUAUUAGUUCGAGAAUAGAUUCCUUGAACAAGAGAAACAUUUUCCAGUUCUUUGAAAUUGAAAUCGACCGUAA